RNAcentral lists this ribosomal RNA (471 nucleotides) under uncultured bacterium. Its description in RNAcentral is "bacterial SSU rRNA". It matches the Rfam family "Bacterial small subunit ribosomal RNA", at positions 8 to 526 of the family's 1533-position model. The record is from RNAcentral.
AGGGUUUGAUUAUGGCUCAGGAUGAACGCUGGCGGCGUGCUUAACACAUGCAAGUCGAACGAACCUUCGGGUUAGUGGCGGACGGGUGAGUAACGCGUGAGAAUCUGCCCUCAGGAGGGGGAUAACGGUUGGAAACGACCGCUAAUACCCCAUAUGCCUAUUGGUGAAAUGAAUUUCGCCUGAGGAUGAGCUCGCGUCUGAUUAGCUAGUUGGUGAGGUAAUGGCUCACCAAGGCUUCGAUCAGUAGCUGGUCUGAGAGGAUGAUCAGCCACACUGGGACUGAGACACGGCCCAGACUCCUACGGGAGGCAGCAGUGGGGAAUUUUCCGCAAUGGGCGAAAGCCUGACGGAGCAACGCCGCGUGAGGGACGAAGGCCUCUGGGCUGUAAACCUCUUUUCUCAAGGAAGAAGAUAUGACGGUACUUGAGGAAUAAGCCACGGCUAAUUCCGUGCCAGCCGCCGCGGUAAUAC